This 468-nucleotide ribosomal RNA is filed under the name uncultured bacterium. Its description in RNAcentral is "partial 16S ribosomal RNA". It matches the Rfam family "Bacterial small subunit ribosomal RNA", at positions 28 to 507 of the family's 1533-position model. The record is from RNAcentral.
GACGAACGCUGGCGGCGUGCUUAACACAUGCAAGUCGAACGGAAAGGCCCUGCUUUUGCGGGGUGCUCGAGUGGCGAACGGGUGAGUAACACGUGAGUAACCUGCCCUUGACUUUGGGGUAACUUCAGGAAACUGGGGCUAAUACCGGAUAGGAGCUCCUGCUGCAUGGGGGGGGUUGGAAAGCUUCGGCGGUUGGGGAUGGACUCGCGGCUUAUGAGCUUGUUGGUGGGGUAGUGGCUUACCAAGGCUUUGACGGGUAGCCGGCCUGAGAGGGUGACCGGCCACAUUGGGACUGAGAUACGGCGCAGACUCCUACGGGGGGCAGCAGUGGGGAAUAUUGCACAAUGGGCGGAAGUCUGAUGCGGCGACGCCGGGUGCGGGAUGACGGCCUUCGGGUUGUAAACCGCUUUCGCCUGUGACGAAGCGGGAGUGACGGUAAUGGGAAAAGAAGCACCGGCUAACUACGUG